GUGGACGCCAGUCUGCAUGGAGCCGACCUUGAAAUACCACCCUUUAAUGUUUGAUGUUCUAACGUGGACCCGUAAUCCGGGUUGCGGACAGUGUCUGGUGGGUAGUUUGACUGGGGCGGUCUCCUCCUAAAGAGUAACGGAGGAGCACGAAGGUUGGCUAAUCCUGGUCGGACAUCAGGAGGUUAGUGCAAUGGCAUAAGCCAGCUUGACUGCGAGCGUGACGGCGCGAGCAGGUGCGAAAGCAGGUCAUAGUGAUCCGGUGGUUCUGAAUGGAAGGGCCAUCGCUCAACGGAUAAAAGGUACUCCGGGGAUAACAGGCUGAUACCGCCCAAGAGUUCAUAUCGACGGCGGUGUUUGGCACCUCGAUGUCGGCUCAUCACAUCCUGGGGCUGAAGUAGGUCCCAAGGGUAUGGCUGUUCGCCAUUUAAAGUGGUACGCGAGCUGGGUUUAGAACGUCGUGAGACAGUUCGGUCCCUAUCUGCCGUGGGCGCUGGAGAACUGAGGGGGGCUGCUCCUAGUACGAGAGGACCGGAGUGGACGCAUCACUGGUGUUCGGGUUGUCAUGCCAAUGGCACUGCCCGGUAGCUAAAUGCGGAAGAGAUAAGUGCUGAAAGCAUCUAAGCACGAAACUUGCCCCGAGAUGA
Molecule: ribosomal RNA, 644 nt
Filed under: Salmonella enterica subsp. enterica serovar Newport
Lineage: Bacteria; Pseudomonadati; Pseudomonadota; Gammaproteobacteria; Enterobacterales; Enterobacteriaceae
Description: partial 23S ribosomal RNA
Rfam family: Bacterial large subunit ribosomal RNA
Source: RNAcentral